RNAcentral lists this small nuclear RNA (162 nucleotides) under Crocodylus porosus (Australian saltwater crocodile). Its description in RNAcentral is "U1 spliceosomal RNA (ENSCPRG00005001027.1)". The record is from RNAcentral. Lineage: Eukaryota; Metazoa; Chordata; Crocodylia; Crocodylidae.
UUUCUUACCUGCCAGGGGAAAUACUAUGACCACUGAGGUGGUUUUCCCAGGGGCAGGGAACGGCUGCUUUUCUGGCACGGUGUAGUACCCAUGGUGUUAAUGUAUAGUUAACCUCUCACUUUCAUUUCCAGUGGGAAGAUCUUGGCUUUACGCCCACUUUAU